CACACGACUCUCGGCAACGGAUAUCUCGGCUCUCGCAUCGAUGAAGAACGUAGCAAAAUGCGAUACCUGGUGUGAAUUGCAGAAUCCCGCGAACCAUCGAGUUUUUGAACGCAAGUUGCGCCCGAGGCCUUCUGGUUGAGGGCACGCCUGCCUGGGCGUCACGCCA
This 166-nucleotide ribosomal RNA is filed under the name Setaria italica (foxtail millet). RNAcentral describes it as "5.8S ribosomal RNA". It matches the Rfam family "5.8S ribosomal RNA". From Rfam's summary of the family: 5.8S ribosomal RNA (5.8S rRNA) is a component of the large subunit of the eukaryotic ribosome. The record is from RNAcentral. Lineage: Eukaryota; Viridiplantae; Streptophyta; Magnoliopsida; Poales; Poaceae.